UAGAAACUUUAGUUGAUUGAAGUCAUGAGGGUCAGGAAAAGUCAACAUCCUCAUCCCUUAGGUUCCAAGUGAUCUGGUGGUUGAGUACCCGAGGGCCGUGAUUGGGGGCUGGGGUUUUAAAUUCUGCAAAACAGCUCAAGACAGUGCUUUAGGCUAGAAUUUAUCAUUGAAAUAGGUCUGGAAGUCUUUACUAAUGGUUUGUUAUCUUUGCUAUUGUUACUUCUCUUUCCUAAGAAGUAUGUCCUUUUGUUCUUUAAAUGUCAGUAUUACUGAGACCUGUUCAAGGGCAAGCAUUGUGUCCAGGCUUAGAUCACAAAAGGGCUUAGGCCAAAAAAUGGCUUCUCUUCUGUCAAGAAAGCUUUGCCUGCUUCUCUUUCUCUGGAGACACCCCUACCCUAUCUGCUUACAUUUCUUUAUCUGAGAAAUUAAACAACAGUUGAAUAACUCACUAUCUGUGGUAUCUUAGGACUUGAGUAUGGGCUGACUGAGACUGGAGAUUAGAAGACAUGUUUGGAAAAAAAAAUCAGAAAUGUAUUGGUUCCUUUUUGUGAGGUUUAGUGACAUCCUUUAAGAAAAGGACAAGCUGCAGUUAAAGCUGGUUUAUUUGGAAGCAGUGAAAACAUCAAGAGCAGGCCUUUCGCCCUUAUCCUGCAAUCCCAAACAGCCAGGAGCCAGAAACUGUAUAACUGUUUGAAAAGUAAAGUCCUCUUUGCAGUCUAAAUUUAGUGCCAGCAAAAGUGAGGAGGGUAGAGUGAAAUUAGAAGAUAAGAUUGAAACCAGGAGCCACCCACUUCUGUUGACAGAACAUCAAGGCUAAUUGUUAGAAGACAGAAACAACACCUUUGGGAUCUAGAAUCAAGGAUUAGGCCUCUGUGUGAAUACUGGCUUUUGUUGUUAACUCAGUGAAUUUACUGGAAACAAAUAGAUUGUAGAGUUUACUAAACUUUUAAGGAACUAGUGUUUCCAGAGAAACUCAAACACCCAGAAACUCAGGGCUGUGAUUGCUCAACCCCCAAGGCAAUACUCAGUCAGGAUCCUAAACCCACACUAACAGAAACAACACCACUGAUGGACUGUGAGAAUGAGAAAGUAAACACCCCCCAGUGCCUUUCGCAGCUCUGAUCAGACAGGACAAGUUACAGGGGAAAUCAUCCCAGAAGACACACCCAAGAGCAGACCAAAGGGUCCCCAAGAAAUUCACUCUGAAGCCAAUACAAGGGAUCCCUUACUCCUGUUCAGUGAGUACUAAGCACAUUGCAAGUCACCCCUCCUCCCAUUUCCCCUUUUCAAGUAGAAGGUUUAUAGUAGUCAUUUUGUUUCCUCAUCACAAAUGUAUAUUAUGUUUGUUGGAGAUGCUUAAAUGUAUCAGUUUACAGUAGGUUUCUGAAUCGUGAGGAAUGCACAUGAACAAGAGAAUCUGGACUCAGCCUGGGUUCAGUAACUGGGUAAAACCUGCAUGGUGCUGGAACUAAGGCACCACCCAGAUGGAGGAUGGUAAUUUCAGACUGAGCACAAGAUUGCUGGAGCCCUGCCCUGUUACGUCACCACCAACCAAUCAGAAGAAAGUCACACACCCUGCAGCCCUCAUCCCAAAUUGUGCCUUUAAAAACUUCUCCCUGAAAAUCAUCAGGGAGUUUGGGGUUUUCCGAGCAUGAACCACCUGUUCGCCUUGCUUGGCCCUGCAAUAAACCUUUCUCUGCUCCAAA
Molecule: long non-coding RNA, 1706 nt
Organism: Camelus dromedarius (Arabian camel)
Lineage: Eukaryota; Metazoa; Chordata; Mammalia; Artiodactyla; Camelidae
Exons: 2
Source: RefSeq, a predicted model, not a curated record